GAUGAACGCUGGCGGCGUGCCUAAUACAUGCAAGUCGAGCGAACAGACGAGGAGCUUGCUCCUCUGACGUUAGCGGCGGACGGGUGAGUAACACGUGGAUAACCUACCUAUAAGACUGGGAUAACUUCGGGAAACCGGAGCUAGUACCGGAUAAUAUAUUGAACCGCAUGGUUCAAUAGUGAAAGACGGUUUUGCUGUCACUUAUAGAUGGAUCCGCGCCGCAUUAGCUAGUUGGUAAGGUAACGGCUUACCAAGGCAACGAUGUGUAGCCGACCUGAGAGGGUGAUCGGCCACACUGGAACUGAGACACGGUCCAGACUCCUACGGGAGGCAGCAGUAGGGAAUCUUCCGCAAUGGGCGAAAGCCUGACGGAGCAACGCCGCGUGAGUGAUGAAGGUCUUCGGAUCGUAAAACUCUGUUAUUAGGGAAGAACAAAUGUGUAAGUAACUAUGCACGUCUUGACGGUACCUAAUCAGAAAGCCACGGCUAACUACGUG
This 497-nucleotide ribosomal RNA is filed under the name uncultured bacterium. RNAcentral describes it as "partial 16S ribosomal RNA". It matches the Rfam family "Bacterial small subunit ribosomal RNA", at positions 28 to 507 of the family's 1533-position model. The record is from RNAcentral.